This 206-nucleotide ribosomal RNA is filed under the name Clostridioides difficile. Its description in RNAcentral is "partial 23S ribosomal RNA". It matches the Rfam family "Bacterial large subunit ribosomal RNA", at positions 1987 to 2192 of the family's 2925-position model. The record is from RNAcentral. Lineage: Bacteria; Bacillati; Bacillota; Clostridia; Peptostreptococcales; Peptostreptococcaceae.
CCCGCACGAAAGGCGUAACGAUUUGGGCACUGUCUCAACAACAGACUCGGUGAAAUUGUAAUUCCGGUGAAGAUGCCGGAUACCUGCGACAGGACGGAAAGCCCCCAUGGAGCUUUACUGUAGCUUGACAUUGGGUCUUGGUACUACAUGUACAGGAUAGGUGGGAGGCUUUGAAACCAGGACGCCAGUUUUGGCGGAGCCAUCCU